RNAcentral lists this transfer RNA (93 nucleotides) under Venturia inaequalis. RNAcentral describes it as "tRNA-Phe". It matches the Rfam family "tRNA". Rfam says of the family: Transfer RNA (tRNA) molecules are approximately 80 nucleotides in length. Their secondary structure includes four short double-helical elements and three loops (D, anti-codon, and T loops). Lineage: Eukaryota; Fungi; Ascomycota; Dothideomycetes; Venturiales; Venturiaceae. The record is from RNAcentral.
GCGGGUAUAGCUCAGUUGGGAGAGCGUCAGACUGAAGUCCACUUCAGGUCAAAGAUCAUCUGAAGGUCAUGUGUUCAAUCCACAUUAGCCGCA